This 330-nucleotide long non-coding RNA is filed under the name Triticum aestivum (bread wheat). Its description in RNAcentral is "long non-coding RNA (TAES_LNC023797)". The record is from RNAcentral. Lineage: Eukaryota; Viridiplantae; Streptophyta; Magnoliopsida; Poales; Poaceae.
UCGACGUCGACGUGAGCAAGCUGAUCUGGACACCGUACAAAGAGCAAGGCUAAGCAAAGCACAUCUGCCAUGCGGCCAUGCCAUGUCGAAUUAGAUAAGCUGACCAAUCGAGUCGUGUAUAUUUUAGGAACUCCUUCCUUCCCCGUCCCUCGUGCAGUGACUCUACUAGUCUCUUUUUUCCGAACUGUGACUGUAGUGGUCUUGUGUAACAUCAGAUUGUUGCGUCUCUCUGCACAUUGUUUGCCAAGCUUUCCUAUUAAUAACUAUGUCACCUGUACUGUAUUUGUGGUCUUCCUGCUCGUAUAAUUGGAUGGAGAAGCAAGCAGCACA